Molecule: ribosomal RNA, 157 nt
Filed under: Fusarium graminearum
Lineage: Eukaryota; Fungi; Ascomycota; Sordariomycetes; Hypocreales; Nectriaceae
Description: 5.8S ribosomal RNA
Rfam family: 5.8S ribosomal RNA
About the family: 5.8S ribosomal RNA (5.8S rRNA) is a component of the large subunit of the eukaryotic ribosome. It is transcribed by RNA polymerase I as part of the 45S precursor that also contains 18S and 28S rRNA.
Source: RNAcentral
CAAAACUUUCAACAACGGAUCUCUUGGUUCUGGCAUCGAUGAAGAACGCAGCAAAAUGCGAUAAGUAAUGUGAAUUGCAGAAUUCAGUGAAUCAUCGAAUCUUUGAACGCACAUUGCGCCCGCCAGUAUUCUGGCGGGCAUGCCUGUUCGAGCGUCA